This 499-nucleotide ribosomal RNA is filed under the name uncultured bacterium. RNAcentral describes it as "bacterial SSU rRNA". It matches the Rfam family "Bacterial small subunit ribosomal RNA", at positions 903 to 1397 of the family's 1533-position model. The record is from RNAcentral.
AAAGGAAUUGACGGGGACCCGCACAAGCGGUGGAGCAUGUGGUUUAAUUCGACGCAACGCGAAGAACCUUACCAGGGCUUGACAUCCCUCGCAAGUUGUGGAAACACAGCGUUUGGUCUUUCGGGACUAACGAGGAGACAGGUGGUGCAUGGUUGUCGUCAGCUCGUGUCGUGAGAUGUUGGGUUAAGUCCCGCAACGAGCGCAACCCCUACUUUUAGUUGCCAGCAUUCAGUUGGGCACUCUAAAGGAACUGCCGGUGACAAACCGGAGGAAGGUGGGGAUGACGUCAAAUCAUCAUGCCCUUUAUGUCCUGGGCUACACACGUGCUACAAUGGCCGGUACAGAGGGUUGCUAAGGAGUGAUCCGGAGCCAAUCUCAAAAAGCCGGUCUCAGUUCGGAUUGUAGGCUGCAACCCGCCUACAUGAAGUCGGAAUCGCUAGUAAUCGCGAGUCAGCAUAUCGCGGUGAAUACGUUCCCGGGUCUUGCACACACCGCCCGU